Long non-coding RNA from Olea europaea var. sylvestris, 8273 nucleotides. RefSeq lists it as uncharacterized. The transcript is spliced from 2 exons. Lineage: Eukaryota; Viridiplantae; Streptophyta; Magnoliopsida; Lamiales; Oleaceae. The record is from RefSeq and is a predicted model, not a curated record.
ACCCAGUUUGUUUAACCAUGUGGAACACUUGAUCUAAUAGUUUAAGCUAUUAGAUAGGGUUAGAAUAAUAUAAUUUAAAUAUUAUCUUCAUCAUGCCCCUUAUGUGUAGGCAGUAUUAUUUUUUCAUAAAACUUGACGCGUACACAACUUUUAAUAAAUAGGUGGCGGUGACACUUUUUCAUGGCUUUGAUACCAUAAAGAACCACUCAAUCUAAUAACUAAGCUAUUAUAUGGGGGCAAAUGAAUAUCAUAUAAAUAUUAUAUUCAACACAGUUAUAACAUAAAACUAUCCUGCUUAAUUUAUUUUUGAAACUGUAAUUGUGUUGUACUCUUCAUUUUGUAUUUCAAAAGAGAAUUUUUUUUUAUCUUUGCCGUGUCCAUUUUUUUGAGAAAAUAUCAUGAUGCUAUGUCUUUGUCUUGUCAUGUCAUACUCCUGUUUGUGUUUCUAAAAAUUAAAUUUUAGAAAAAAUCUCCUGCUUAACUUAUUUCUGUAAUUGUAAUUGUGUUAUACUCUUGGUUUUCAAUGUCGAAAAAUAAUUUUUUUUCUUUGCUAUGUCCAAUAUUUAGGCACAAAGCUGUGAUACCAUGACCAUGUCUUGUAAUGUCAUAGUCGUCUUAGUGUUUUUUAGAUCACACAUCUCAAUAACUGAAAUUUUUUAUCUACCCCAUAUCAUAUCUAGAACAAGCUGAAUACUGGCAUGGUUAAAGUACAUACAACAUCGAGACAGAUUCUCUUGUUAUUUCUCUGAGCUUGGAGCCAAAAAUUUGUCCACCAUAUCAUAGACUCUUUACAUGACUCUUACAUUGACCAACUCAACCCUACUUUAGAUAAAUUUGACCUCCAAUAAUUCAAAAUGCCAGUACAGCAUCCAAGAAAAUUUUUAGUUAAUACCAAUAUGACAGAGAUAUUUACCAAAACAUAGAUGACUUUAGACUCUAAUUUGCAUUUUGACCCGAGACACAAUUAAUUGUUCAGGUGAUGUAGCACCAGUAUAAAAAUUAAUGAAGAAAGAGAAAAUUAAUGAUUCAGGAAGAAGAAAUUAGGGGAUGGGAUGGAAGAAGAAGAACGGGGAAGAGGGAGAAUUUCGCCACAAGCCGCCAAAAAUCUUUAUUCAAUCAUCAACUGAAAAAUUACAAUACAAAAUAGGUUUAAAUAGUAAAGCAAACCCUAAAGAGAUUGAGCCCAAGCCCAUACAAGUCCAAUUCUCUAAAUAAGAGUUCAAGAUAAUAAAUAAAGCUCAACUAGAAAAUAAAAUAAAUAAAUAUCGGAUGUCCUCAUCAACUUUCCUGGGGUGGGAGAAAACUCGACCCUGUCGAGUGGAUAUAUCACUAUAAGCUGCAGUCAAUCUCCCAACCAUAAGCUAAGUGGCUGGGCAAGUGUCUUCCGACGUCUCUAGAAAUGUGUUAGUGGAGGUCUGAAUCUGGUGUCUUUACCAACCCCCUUGAGUGGACGGGAGGCGAUUUGGGGCAAGGAAGAUCCCGCUGACUCCGAUAAAACUCCAAUAAAUCUAGAUCCAAUUGCUGUCGUAUCUUUCUGGAGAUCCAUGUACAGUCAGAAUCUGGUCGAUCAACCCAACGAACAAGAAAGCCCUGAACCCCUCCAUCAUUAGUUAACACAGUUUCUUCAUCUAAAAUAGCAUCAAUUUUAUCUUUGUUUGUUGUGAGAGAUGACAGUAGGUUAGAAGUGGCCAAAGAAUCAAAAUCAAGGUCCACAAAAGGAGGUAACAGAGGAUCAUCUGAAGGAAUGAAAUGGCCUUUAUAAGCAACUAAAUCCUCCACAUCGAAAGUAGAGUGGUAACCAAGGUGUGGUGGGAUGUCAACAACGUAUGUGUUUGGGCCAACUUGCUUUAACAUUUUAUAAGGAUCAACACUACGGGCUUGCAAUUUGGAGGCGGGUCCAUGUAGACACUGGUCUGGCCUAAUGCAGACCAUAAUGUAAUCCUCAAUGUUAAACUCAACAUGUCGUUUAUGCAAAUUAGCUUGGAGUUUAUAUUUUACAUUAUUGGUUUCAAGUUGUUUAUUGAUCUCAAUAUGCAAAUCACGAAGAUGUUGUGCAAAUACUUCUGCUGACACUGAGACUCUAGCCUGUGGGGAUAUAGGAAUGAGAUGUAAUGGCUCCCUAGGCUUAUACCCAUGAACAGCUUCAAUGGACUCAUACCUAAUGAACGAUUCAUAGAACUGUUAUACGCAAUUUGAGCUUUAGGAAGGAUCAAAUCCCAAUUUCGAAGAUUUUUCUGACCAGAUAUCAUAACAAAUUACCAAGACUACGAUUAACUAUUUCAGUUUGACCGUUAGUCUGAGGAUGGUAGGCCGUAGAAAAUUUCAAUUUGGUACCCAUCUUUUGCCACAAGGUUCUCCAAAAAUGACUAGUGAAACGAACAUCCCUAUCAGACAAAAUGGUCUUAGGAAGCCCAUACAAUUUAACAAUCUCAUUAAAGAACAACAUGACAACUUUGGACGCAUCUGAGGUCUUGCUACAGGGGAUAAAAUGAGCCAUUUUCGAGAAACGAUCAACAACCAUAAAAAUAGAAUCAUGUUUCUUUGGGGUGCGUGGAAGUCCUAACAUAAAAUCCAUACUAAUAUCUUGCUAAGGACAAUUAGGGACAGGAAGAGGAGUGUAUAGGCCUGUGUUUUGUCUCUUCUGUUUGGUCAAUUGACAAGUGUUAUAUGUAUUAACAAUCUUAGCCACAUCUUUCUUCAAACUAGGCCAAUAGAAUUGGCGUUCAACCUCCUCUAUGGUCUUAUCACGCCCAAAGUGACAGGUUAAACUUCCCGCAUGAACUUCCCACACCAUGAAAUCCCGCACUGAAGUUCGAGGGAUGCACAAUUUUUUGGCUCUAAAAAGGUAACCCUCCUCAAGUUGGAAGCCAUCUGUGGUAUCUAACUGUCCACCUUGCAAUUCAAGAAAGAUAUCCUUAAAAUCAGGACACGUCUCGUAAUCCUCCUUAAGCCUUUCAAAAUCGAUGACCUUGACGCUCAUGAUCGAUAAAAGGGAGACACGACGACUUAAAGCAUCAGCUACUUGGUUUUCCACCCCCUUCUUAUGUUUUAAAACAAACGAAUAGGCCUGAAAUAUUCAAUCCAACGACCAUGCCUAGAGCUCAAUCUUUUCUGGGAGUUAGAGGUAACGGAGGGCCUCGUGGUUCGAAUAAAGAACAAACUCCUGGUGCAACAAAUAGUGGCGCCAAUAGCGCAAGGCCUGGACAACCGCACACAAUUCCUUAUCAUAAGUCGAGUACCGUUGUUUGGCCUCAUUUAACUUCUCCCUGAAGUAGGCAACAGGGUGACGAUCCUGAUUCAGGACUCCGCCUAUACCCACUCCGGAAGCAUCACACUCGACCUCAAAGACUUUAGAAAAAUUGGGAAGACGCAUGACAGGAGCCUGUGCCAUUUGCUUCUUGACCAACUUAAAGGCCUUAGCUGCUCUUGUGUCCAAUGAAACUCCCCUUUUUUCAUGCACUCCUAAUAGGCGCCAUAAUAGUGCUGAACCCCUUGAUAAAGCGACGGUAAAAUGUAGCUAAGUCGUGAAAGCCCCUAACGUCAUGAAUAGUCCUAGGUUUAGGCCAGUUAAGAAUCGCCCUGAAUCUUGGCAGGGUUAGCAGAAACCCCUGUCGAAGAGACAAUGAAUCCAAGGAAAACGACUGUAUCGGUGAAGAAAGAGCACUUUUUGAUGUUAGCAUACAGAUUAGUUGCACGUAGGGUAGAACAAACUUGUGUGAGAUGGUUAUGGUGUUGCUCUUUAGUCUUACUGUAGAUAAGAAUAUCAUCAAAGUAGACAACAAGAAACUUACCCAUAAAAGGUUGAAGAGUUUGUGUCAUUACUCGCAUAAAGGUGCUCGGCGCGUUGCUUAGCCCAAAAGGCGUGACCAACCAUUCAUAAAGAUCAUCUUUCGUUUUAAAGGCGGUCUUUCACUCAUCACCUGGGCGGAUUCUAAUAUGAUAGUAUCCACUCUUGAGAUCAAUCUUCGAAAAGAUUGUAGCACCAACGAUCAUAUCUAGCAUAUCGUCAAGUCUAGAAAUAGGAAAAUGAUACUUUAUUGUGAUCCUAUUGAUGACACGACUAUCCACACACAUUCUUCAAGAACCAUCCUUAGGGGUCAACAGGGCGGGAACCGCACAAGGGCUUAAACUCUCACGAAUGAACCCCUUGUGAAGGAGUUCAUCUACUUGCCUUUGGAGUUCAGCGUGGUCAGUCAGAUUCAUCCUAUAAUGAGGCAAAUUUGGAAGGGAUGCCCCCGGGAUGAUAUCUAUGGCAUGCUGAAUGUCUCGCAGGGGAGGUAAUUCGUCAGGUAGGUCCUCCGGGAAUACAUCCUGAAACUCUUUGAAAAAAUGAGUGAACUUCAGCAGGGCUCUCUAUUGUGGAGUUCCAUGGAACCUCCAUAACGAUAACAGCGAACACCACUGAGUCACUAACAAGUGAGCGCUCAAACUCCGUCGGGCUAAUGAUAUACAACCCUUUUCGUUCCACACUUCUCUUUGUUUCAUGUGAGCUAAUAGGUUUUGGGGGCAGUAGGUUAAGAUGAAUCUUCUUUCCAUCAAACACGAAAGAGUAGGAAUUGGAUCGACCAUAGAUGGUUACAUCUAGGUCAAAUAACCAAGGUCGUCCCAAGAUGACGUGCCUGACAUCCAUUGAAAUGACGUCACACCAUAUGUGAUUAGGGACUGGAUAGGGAUUAGACAACGCUCCUUGACAGCUAAAGAAGUAUUAACCCAGGAGACGCUAUACGGUUGAGGGUGAGGAAUUGGCUUUAACCCUAGGCGGGAUACAGUAGCUAUCGAAACCGCAUUAAUGCAACUGCUACUAUCCACGAUAACUUUACAGUCCUUGUUAAUGAUCUUGAUGUAAGUGUGGAAGAUGGAAUGACGACGCCAAUCAUCGGCAUUCCUAGGCUGGGUAAGAGUGCAACGGAUGACACCGACUUUAGGCGUAUGUAGGAUAAGGGGACUAGCCUGAAUACAACCUAAGAAGGUAUCAUCACUAUCCUCCAAGUUAUCAAACUCUUCCAACUUAGGUUCAUAAACCUGGUCCUCUAAUGACUCGUCAACUAUACCUUUACGCUCGUCCAUAACUAGGGCUCGGCUAGGACAUUUAGAAGAAAUGUGACCAAAACCCUUACAGUUGAAGCAUUUACAAACGGGAGGACGCCCUUGUAACCUCAGAACCUUUACCUUUACUAUCCGAUGUAGGUAGCAUUAGAAGGAGGAGGUCCUAGAAUAGAUUUUGGGGAUGGAGUAGAUGCAGAAGAGGUUGCAGUGUGGGUGUCACUACGAGUUCUAUACGGUGUCCUAGUCACUAACUCGUAAUCCCGAACGAAAGAGUAGGCGUGGUCAAGAGUGGUGACGCCUCUAAGGACAAGCUCACGUCUAAGAUCAUCCUUUAGGCCUUCUCUAAACCUACUCAAGGUCAUGACCUCAUCCUCAACGACUUGACAUUUCAUUCGAAACUCAUCAAACUGAGCAACGUACUCGGUCACAGGUCGAUUGCCUUGUGUAAGUUCAUUCCAUUGAGUAAAAAUUUCAAAAUCUAAGCAACUAUCAAAAGUAGAAGUGUGUAAUUUAGUGUCUCUAAAGAACUCUUUUUAUGAUGAGGAAGAGAAUGAGUACCGUGACGGUCAUAGGCUCGUUCUCGCCGACAAAUUUGUUCCCUAUCACUAUGAUUGUAUCCAAAAUAUUUUCGAUCUCCUCGUCGAUGACGAUAAUGUCUAUGAUGGGAUACUUCAGAAUUAUCAACGUCAAUCAAAUGAGGGAUUUGCUUAAAAUUGUUCAAAUUAGUAGAGAGGGCCUUACUCUCUUCAAGAGUAGCAGUCAUUUAGGUUUGGAUAGCAGCUAUUUGUUGGGUGAGUACAUCAAAUUGUGGAUGGUCCAUGUUUUGGUACAGAAACUAGAAGUGACAAAAUGACCAGUCAACCACUAUAUUAGCAGCUAAAUGACGUGUAAUAGAGAGAUCAGUGAACAAUAAGUGCAAGCAAUGGAAAAUAAUUUGAACCAUUUUUUUUUUAAAUUUUAAAUUUGGAGGAUUAAGCAAAUCCAAAUAUUGCAAACUAAUAUUGUUGAUAUAUGUAAAAUAGCAAAGCAAGGGUUAAACACUAGUCAAAAGACCUAAUCAUAUGAUAUAGAUUGAGGGGUUAAAAGCAAGUCUAUGAUGAAUCAAAACCCUACGCGAGGUAAGUGGGGAGCCAAUGGGAGUUAAGUCAUUCAAUGAUUUUGAUAAAGUGUGGUUAAGGCUAAUAUUGUCAAGGUUACAGCAGCACAAGAUUUUAAUUGAUGCAAUUUUAAAAAUGAAGUAGUAAUAUAAACCAAUACUAGAUAGAGAUCAAGAACUCCUUGUUUAGUUGCUUGAAUUUCUGAAAUGUGGACCCUAGUUAUGCUUGUGUUAUAUCCUUCUUUGCAGAUGUCUUCCACUCCAGAAGUCACUCCUUGUUGAUUGUGAUUUAUACUGGUUAUUGCUCUGGCUCUGUUGUGCGUUGGAGUAUAACUGGCGGGCAAGUCGAAUUGAUCCCUGUUGUUAGUCGUUUAUGUGUUAAAUGGGAUGUGAUAACAUGUGUUAAGUGGGCUGAUUUAUUUUGAUUCAAGUAAUGGGUUGGUUUAUUUUGAGAUGUUGGAAUUGAGCUAGAAGUAAGUGGUUGGAUGAUAUGAUGGGAAGUGGGCUGUGUAUGCAAGGGUUGAGUUAAUUGGGUUUUGGGGUUUAUUGGGCUGCGUGAGUUUGGUUAGGGAUAAAAGGAAUAUUUAUGAGUAUAUUUGGGUUAGAUUGUUAGGAUUAAAAAUUUGUGAAACAACACUUAACAGCAGCAAACGCCUAAAAUACUAAAAUUGAUUUUUUUUUGCAGAAAAUGAUGAAAAAUACUGAAACUGAAUUUUUUUCCUCCGGGUGAAUAGUGCCUGUGAAUAGUAACUUUUUUUUUUUUGGGAACUGAAAAUACUUAAAUUGAAUUUUUCGGGUGUGAAUAGUACCUGUGAACAGUAACACGAUUUUUUAUUUUUUUACAACUAAGAUAGAAAAUUGAAGGAAAAAACUGGUAACUUUAAUACAAACUUUUCAUUUUUGCUGUUCCAACGGGAAGUAAUUUUGGGAAGAGGAUGGGAAGAAAUUUUGGAUAAAAAGAAAAAUUACCCAAUUUCGGCUCUAAUACUAAAUUUGAUGUAGCAUUAAUAGAAAAAUUAAUGAAGAAAGAGAAUCAAUGAAUCAGGGGAAGGGAUGGAAGAACAAGAAAAUAGGGAAAGAAGAAGAAGAACGGGGAAGAGGGGAAAUUUCGCCACAAGCCACCAAAAAUCUUUAUUCAAUUAUCAACUGAAAAAUUACAAUACAAAAUAGGUUUAAACAGUUGAGCAAACCUUAACAAAACUGGGUCCGAGCCCAUACAAGUCCAAUUCUCUAAAUAAGAGUCCAAGAUAAUAAAUAAAGCUUAACUAGAUCAUCAUCAGGGGGAAUAAAAAACAGUCAUUAACAUAAUAUAGAACAACUUAAAGAAAUUUCUCUUUCUUCAUCGGGGGAAUAAAAAACCGUCAUUAACAUAAUAUAGAACAACUUAAAGAAAUUUCUCUUUCUUAAUUUUCUUUUCUUGUGUUUACAAACUGUACCAAGAUAUAUUUCUCUGAACAUGGAGUGUCAAUCAAACCUAUGUUUGAAUUGAAAUUGAGAUACCGAUGUAAGUUUUUCCCUUCUGAAUUAGAUAUAUUUAUAUUUGAAAGAGGUUGACAAUAAAUUCUUUCAAAUUUGAUUAUUUGAGGUGCUCCAGAAAUGUUUACAAAACAGGUUGUAAAAUUGUAUAGUGGUAUCUAAAGUGGCCGAGAAUUUAGCGAAUCAUGUAUAGUUAGAAGAAAAUGAUGUUUUUCCCUGAAAGUAAAUGAGUUGAGUUCCUCCAGGAAAAAGGUCUAUAAGUCUAUUCUUCUCAUUUAGAUUCAUAUACUAUUUCAGCAAUGCUCAAUGUAGAAGUCCAGAUUAUUCACAUGCACAACACUGCGUCAAAGUAUUUUUGGCUUAUUUGCAUGAUUUAAGUAAAAGAAUUCUGCUGGUAAUUUAUGUUCAUGAAGUUCAAAUAAUAGUUGAGUAGGCACACUGUAGUGUUAGGAAAACUCAUUAACAUUUUGACAUCCAUUUUUAAUAUGAAACAACACAAGAACUGCGCAAUGCUGUCCAUAGAUGGUAUGCGUGAUUGAGAUAUGAUGACCAGCAUCUCGGAGCUGGUAAAAAGACGGGUUUUUGGAUCUAUGAAAGUGCAAAUGAACAAGAUCAGUCCUGGUAUUGACGCGAUUUGCUACAUAUCCAGAUAUGG